CAGUAGCCGCGGUAAUACGUAGGUGGCAAGCGUUGUCCGGAAUUAUUGGGCGUAAAGGGCUCGCAGGCGGUUUCUUAAGUCUGAUGUGAAAGCCCCCGGCUCAACCGGGGAUGGUCAUUGGAAACUGGGAAACUUGAGUGCAGAAGAGGAGAGUGGAAUUCCACGUGUAGCGGUGAAAUGCGUAGAGAUGUGGAGGAACACCAGUGGCGAAGGCGACUCUCUGGUCUGUAACUGACGCUGAGGAGCGAAAGCGUGGGGAGCGAACAGGAUUAGAUACCCGCGUAGUCCCUGUCUCUUAUAC
This 301-nucleotide ribosomal RNA is filed under the name uncultured bacterium. RNAcentral describes it as "partial 16S ribosomal RNA". It matches the Rfam family "Bacterial small subunit ribosomal RNA", at positions 509 to 807 of the family's 1533-position model. The record is from RNAcentral.